This 500-nucleotide ribosomal RNA is filed under the name uncultured bacterium. RNAcentral's name for it is "partial 16S ribosomal RNA". It matches the Rfam family "Bacterial small subunit ribosomal RNA", at positions 30 to 523 of the family's 1533-position model. The record is from RNAcentral.
AUUGAACGCUGGCGGAAUGCUUUACACAUGCAAGUCGAACGGCAGCACGGACUUCGGUCUGGUGGCGAGUGGCGAACGGGUGAGUAAUGUAUCGGAACGUGCCCAGUCGUGGGGGAUAACGUAGUGAAAAUUACGCUAAUACCGCAUACGAUCUAUGGAUGAAAGCGGGGGAUCGCAAGACCUCGCGCGAUUGGAGCGGCGGAGAUCAGAUUAGGUAGUUGGUGGGGUAAAGGCCCACCAAGCCAACGAUCUGUAGCUGGUCUGAGAGGACGACCAGCCACACUGGAACUGAGACACGGUCCAGACUCCUACGGGAGGCAGCAGUGGGGAAUUUUGGACAAUGGGCGAAAGCCUGAUCCAGCCAUUCCGCGCGCAGGAUGAAGGCCCUCGGGUUGUAAACUGCUUUUGUACAGAACGAAAAGGUUUCUACUAAUACUAGGAGCUCAUGACGGUACUGUAAGAAUAAGCACCGGCUAACUACGUGCCAGCCGCCGCCGUAA